CUCUGAUAACAGUACCCGUUCCGCGUUUUACAAGAAUAAGGCGUCGUGACGACAACAAGCUCCCCCCUCCGGCCUGGCGUCACGCGGGAGAGGAAGGCUGCCGCCAUUACUACAAUUCAUCAUCCAUAUACAGAAAAAGCAGCAAUGGCAGCCUACAGACACCUGCUACGUAGAGUGGCUCACGUGGGACAAUGGGAAGACCUGGCCAUCAGGAGGAGAACCCGUUUGUUCAGGAGCCGUAGGGAUCCCUUUGAAAUGUACUCGGAAGAGGAGUUCACUCAACGCUUUCGGCUCUCCAAGCAAGUCACCCUGGAUCUCUUAUAAAAAAUCCAGCACCUAUUGCCAGAUUCUACCAGGAAAAGAGGGCUUCCAAUCCCACCACGUCUCCAGCUGCUGGUAACCCUCCGCUACUAUGCCACUGGGAGCUUCCAGCUUGACAUGGGGGAUUGCUGUGACAUGUCGCUGCCCAGUGUAUCUACCUGUGUCAAGACUGUGACCAGUGCAAUCUGCCAGCUAGCAGGGGACUACAUAAAGUUCCCCAGUCCUGCUGAAGAACAGGAUGUCAUGCGACAAUUUGCCGAGGUAGCUGCCAUGCCCGGAGUUAUUGGAUGUGUAGAUGGUGUACACAUCCCAAUCAUCAGUCCAGGUGGAGAAGAUGCAGAACUUUACCGCUGCAGGAAAGGCUUUUUUUCAUUGAAUAUAAUGGGGGUCUGCAACUCAUCCAUGCUCUUCACAAAUCUGGUCGUGAACUGGCAAGGUAGUGCACAUGAUGCCCGCAUCUUCAGUGAGUC
This is a long non-coding RNA of Eriocheir sinensis (Chinese mitten crab), 791 nucleotides long. RefSeq lists it as uncharacterized. NCBI's taxonomy places the organism in Eukaryota, Metazoa, Arthropoda, Malacostraca, Decapoda, Varunidae. The transcript has 3 exons. The record is from RefSeq and is a predicted model, not a curated record.